AGAGUUUGAUCAUGGCUCAGGAUGAACGCUAGCUACAGGCUUAACACAUGCAAGUCGAGGGGCAGCAUGGUCUUAGCUUGCUAAGGCCGAUGGCGACCGGCGCACGGGUGAGUAACGCGUAUCCAACCUGCCUUACACUCUUGGACAGCCUUCUGAAAGGGAGAUUAAUACAAGAUGUUAUCAUGAGUAAGCAUUUUCGCAUGAUUAAAGGUUUACCGGUGUAAGAUGGGGAUGCGUUCCAUUAGAUAGUAGGCGGGGUAACGGCCGACCUAGUCUUCGAUCAGUAGGGGUUCUGAGAGGAAGGUCCCCCACAUUGGAACUGAGACACGGUCCAACUCCUACGGGAGGCA
RNAcentral lists this ribosomal RNA (350 nucleotides) under uncultured bacterium. RNAcentral's name for it is "bacterial SSU rRNA". It matches the Rfam family "Bacterial small subunit ribosomal RNA", at positions 8 to 350 of the family's 1533-position model. The record is from RNAcentral.